AUUACCGAGUUUACAACUCCCAAACCCCUGUGAACAUACCUAUACUGUUGCCUCGGCGGAUCAGCCCGCGCCCCGUGAAACGGGUUCGGCCCGCCAGAGGACCCCAAACCCUGUUUCCAUCUAGUAUCUUCUGAGUAAAACAAACAAAUAAAUCAAAACUUUCAACAACGGAUCUCUUGGUUCUGGCAUCGAUGAAGAACGCAGCGAAAUGCGAUAAGUAAUGUGAAUUGCAGAAUUCAGUGAAUCAUCGAAUCUUUGAACGCACAUUGCGCCCGCUAGUAUUCUGGCGGGCAUGCCUGUUCGAGCGUCAUUUCAACCCUCAAGCCCCCCGGGGCUUGGUGUUGGGGAUCGGCGAAGCCCCCCCGGGGCACGCGCCGGCCCCGAAAUCUAGUGGCGGUCUCGCUGCAGCUUCCAUUGCGUAGUAGCUAACACCUCGCAACUGGGACGCGGCGCGGCCAUGCCGUUAAACCCCCCAAUUCUUUCUGAAUGUUGACCUCGGAUCAGGUAGGAAUACCCGCUGAACUUAAGCAUAUCAAUAAGCGGAGGAAAAGAAACCAACAGGGAUUGCCCUAGUAACGGCGAGUGAAGCGGCAACAGCUCAAAUUU
This 606-nucleotide ribosomal RNA is filed under the name Fusarium cyanostomum. Its description in RNAcentral is "eukaryotic LSU rRNA". The stretch from base 157 to 310 matches the Rfam family "5.8S ribosomal RNA". The record is from RNAcentral. Lineage: Eukaryota; Fungi; Ascomycota; Sordariomycetes; Hypocreales; Nectriaceae.